UACGAAAGGGGCGAGCGUUGUUCGGAUUUACUGGGCGUAAAGGGCGCGCAGGCGGCUCAUUUUGUCAGGCGUGAAAGCCCCGGGCUUAACCUGGGAACUGCGUUUGAUACGGAUGGGCUAGAGUUCGGGAGAGGAGAGUGGAAUUCCCAGUGUAGAGGUGAAAUUCGUAGAUAUUGGGAAGAACACCGGUGGCGAAGGCGGCUCUCUGGACCGAGACUGACGCUGAGGCGCGAAAGCGUGGGGAGCAAACAGG
This 253-nucleotide ribosomal RNA is filed under the name uncultured bacterium. RNAcentral describes it as "partial 16S ribosomal RNA". It matches the Rfam family "Bacterial small subunit ribosomal RNA", at positions 524 to 776 of the family's 1533-position model. The record is from RNAcentral.